This 498-nucleotide ribosomal RNA is filed under the name uncultured bacterium. RNAcentral's name for it is "partial 16S ribosomal RNA". It matches the Rfam family "Bacterial small subunit ribosomal RNA", at positions 30 to 523 of the family's 1533-position model. The record is from RNAcentral.
AUUGAACGCCGGCGGCAUGCCUUACACAUGCAAGUCGAACGGUAACAGGUCUUCGGAUGCUGACGAGUGGUGAACGGGUGAGUAAUACAUCGGAACGCGCCUAGUAGUGGGGGAUAACUACUCGAAAGAGAGGCUAAUACCGCAUGAGAUCUACGGAUGAAAGCAGGGGAUCGCAAGACCUUGUGCUACUAGAGCGGCCGAUGGCAGAUUAGGUAGUUGGUGGGAUAAAAGCUUACCAAGCCGACGAUCUGGAGCUGGUCUGAGAGGACGAUCAGCCACACUGGGACUGAGACACGGCCCAGACUCCUACGGGAGGCAGCAGUGGGGAAUUUUGGACAAUGGGCGAAAGCCUGAUCCAGCAAUGCCGCGUGCAGGAUGAAGGCCUUCGGGUUAUAAACUGCUUUUGUACGGAACGAAAAGCCCCGGGUUAAUACCCUGGGGUCAUGACGGUACCGUAAGAAUAAGCACCGGCUAACUACGUGCCAGCCGCCGCCGUAA